GCCUGUGGCACAAUUGGUUAGCGCGUUCGGCUGUUAACCGAAAGGUUGGUGGUUCGAGCCCACCCAAGGGCG
RNAcentral lists this transfer RNA (72 nucleotides) under Homarus americanus (American lobster). RNAcentral's name for it is "tRNA-Asn". It matches the Rfam family "tRNA". Rfam says of the family: Transfer RNA (tRNA) molecules are approximately 80 nucleotides in length. Lineage: Eukaryota; Metazoa; Arthropoda; Malacostraca; Decapoda; Nephropidae. The record is from Rfam by way of RNAcentral.